Molecule: non-coding RNA, 75 nt
Organism: Schistosoma haematobium
Lineage: Eukaryota; Metazoa; Platyhelminthes; Trematoda; Strigeidida; Schistosomatidae
Source: Rfam
AGCCUUCUGGAUCUGUGCCGCGAUUUUGUCAGGCACCAUACCAUCAGUACUGUUUAGACGCUCAUAAGUGAAGUG